This 424-nucleotide ribosomal RNA is filed under the name uncultured archaeon. RNAcentral describes it as "bacterial SSU rRNA". It matches the Rfam family "Archaeal small subunit ribosomal RNA", at positions 322 to 747 of the family's 1478-position model. The record is from RNAcentral.
CCUAUGGGGGGCAGCAGGCGCGAAACCUUUACAAUGCGCUAACGCGUGAUAAGGGUACUCCAAGUGCUUAUGCUUUGCAUAGGCUUUUGCUAAGGGCGAAAACCUUGGCGAAUAAGUGGUGGGAAAGACUGGUGCCAGCAGCCGCGGUAACCCCAGCGCCACAAGUGGUGAUCGGUUUUAUUGGGCCUAAAGCAUUCGUAGCUGGUUGAAACAGUUUCUUGUGAAAUCGGGACGCUUAACGUACCGGACUGCAGGAAAUACUAUUCAACUUGGGAUUGGGAGGAGCAAGAGGAAUUUUGGGGGAAGCGGUAAAAUGCUAUAAUCCCUAAAAGACCACCGAUGGCGAAGGCAUCUUGCUAGAACAAAUCCGACAGUCAGGAAUGAAAGCUAGGGGAGCAAACCGGAUUAGAUACCCCCGUAGUCC